UACGUAGGGGUGCAAGCGUUGUCCGGAAUUAUUGGGCGUAAAGGGCUCGUAGGCGGUCCGUCACGUCGGGAGUGAAAUCCUGGGGCUUAACCCCAGAACUGCUUCCGAUACGGGCAGACUAGAGGUAGGUAGGGGAGAAUGGAAUUCCUGGUGUAGCGGUGGAAUGCGUAGAUAUCAGGAGGAACACCGGCGGUGUAGACGGCUUUCUGGACCGUAGCUGACGCUGAGACACGAAAGCGUGGGUAGCAAACAGG
RNAcentral lists this ribosomal RNA (254 nucleotides) under uncultured bacterium. RNAcentral's name for it is "partial 16S ribosomal RNA". It matches the Rfam family "Bacterial small subunit ribosomal RNA", at positions 524 to 776 of the family's 1533-position model. The record is from RNAcentral.